GAUGAACGCUGGCGGCGUGCCUAAUACAUGCAAGUCGAGCGAACGGACGAGAAGCUUGCUUCUCUGAUGUUAGCGGCGGACGGGUGAGUAACACGUGGAUAACCUACCUAUAAGACUGGGAUAACUUCGGGAAACCGGAGCUAAUACCGGAUAAUAUUUUGAACCGCAUGGUUCAAAAGUGAAAGACGGUCUUGCUGUCACUUAUAGAUGGAUCCGCGCUGCAUUAGCUAGUUGGUAAGGUAACGGCUUACCAAGGCAACGAGGCAUAGCCGACCUGAGAGGGUGAUCGGCCACACUGGAACGGAGACACGGUCCAGACUCCUACGGGAGGCAGCAGUAGGGAAUCUUCCGCAAUGGGCGAAAGCCUGACGGAGCAACGCCGCGUGAGUGAUGAAGGUCUUCGGAUCGUAAAACUCUGUUAUUAGGGAAGAACAUAUGUGUAAGUAACUGUGCACAUCUUGACGGUACCUAAUCAGAAAGCCACGGCUAACUACGUG
RNAcentral lists this ribosomal RNA (497 nucleotides) under uncultured bacterium. Its description in RNAcentral is "partial 16S ribosomal RNA". It matches the Rfam family "Bacterial small subunit ribosomal RNA", at positions 28 to 507 of the family's 1533-position model. The record is from RNAcentral.